UCGGGAAUUUUGCGCACUGGGCGAAAGCCUGACGCAGCAACCCCGCGUGAGGGAUGACGGCCUUCGGGUUGUAAACCUCUUUUAUCAGGGAAGAUAAUGACGGUACCUGAUGAAUAAGUCACGGCUAACUACGUGCCAGCAGCCGCGGUAAUACGUAGGUGACAAGCGUUGUCCGGAUUUACUGGGCGUAAAGAGCGCGCAGGCGGUCGUUCAAGUCGA
Molecule: ribosomal RNA, 219 nt
Filed under: uncultured bacterium
Lineage: Bacteria
Description: partial 16S ribosomal RNA
Rfam family: Bacterial small subunit ribosomal RNA
Source: RNAcentral